UAGGUAAUCUUCCCUUGAGCGGGGGACAACGGUCCGAAAGGACCGCUAAUACCGCAUAAGUUCCCAAGGUCCUCGGAUCUUGGGAGGAAAGCUAGGUAGCAAUAUCCGGCACUCGAGGAGGAGCCUGCGUAGCAUCAGCUAGUUGGUGGGGUAGUGGCCUACCAAGGCGACGAUCCUUAGCUGGUCUGAGAGGAUGAUCAGCCACACUGGGACUGAGACACGGCCCAGAU
This 230-nucleotide ribosomal RNA is filed under the name uncultured bacterium. RNAcentral's name for it is "partial 16S ribosomal RNA". It matches the Rfam family "Bacterial small subunit ribosomal RNA", at positions 118 to 336 of the family's 1533-position model. The record is from RNAcentral.